RNAcentral lists this long non-coding RNA (1484 nucleotides) under Olea europaea subsp. europaea. Lineage: Eukaryota; Viridiplantae; Streptophyta; Magnoliopsida; Lamiales; Oleaceae. The record is from RNAcentral.
GCCAAACCUCAUGACUCACUAUCCCAUUUAUAUAUUGGUUUCCUCCAAAUCUACCAAAUUAAAACAUUUGAGUGACGGCACCGAUUAACCUACACCUUCCGACGCCAGCACGAAAAGAAGGCAUUUCUACUCUUCGUCGCAUGCUGUACUAGAAGGACCAGUCCUCGUCUUCGUCACCAAAAGUAAGUUCGAAUUUGUGGGUUUUCUACAGAUUGACUAUGCAGUUUAAUUUUUGGGGUUUAAUUUUUGUUUUCUCAUUUUGUAGUUAGUAACAGUCAUUAGGUCGAAGGAAGGGUUUUUUUUUUUUUUUUUUUUCUCCUAAAUCGUGUGCGUUGUAAACUAGCUUUGAGUACUGGCUUGGAUAUCGAACACUUGAAAUUUGUUCUACAAAAUUUCCAUUGAUUCUUUUCCUUUUUUUUUUUUGGUUUUUUGUUUUUUGUUUUCUAUAAUCCCAAAAGAACAUGAAGUUAGCUUCUUCUUUUUUUCAUUUUUUUUUUCCAUAUUUUAUGUGACUUCUCAAUAAGGGCUUUCAUUCAGGAAUGCUUCAAGAAUGCCCAUAAGUUUAUAUUUAUAAUUUAAAAUAAUUUUGUUUCAGUUUCUAUUUUUGAACUCUUAGAUGUUGAAAUUUUGAUUUUUCUCAUUAUGGUGUGUAAUAUUUUGAGAUAUCUGGAAUAUGUGCAAAAAGCAAUAAGAUUGCUUUAAUGGAUGUGAGCUCUUAUUCCUGAGUUGUUUUUGAUGUGUUGGGGUUUAUUAUCGGCUUACGAUGGCAGAAAAUAACCAAGGAGUAUGCCAUGGUUAUGGAGAAAAUGGGCAUUUUUUUGCGGUCUAUCCGGAGAAACGUUGUUGCCCAUGGUGCAAAAGGGGGAGAUAGAGAGUAAGAAAAAAGGUUGUUUAUUCAAUACCUAUACUGGAAAAUGUGGAUAUUGGGAGUAGGUCAAAGAUAGCGAGGCUAGCAGUGAAUCAAGUACAGUUAGCGUAACUUCGAUGAAUCAUGUGAUGAGCAAAGGAGUUGAAGAACUGUCUUGCAUGUUUCAAUCUCAAUGUUGACUAUUUGAUCAACGUGAUGUGGGAUGUCUCUUAACAUGACAAUACACAAUGGAAGAGCAAAUGCAGAUGGAGAGAAGAAAGGAAAGGGAUGUGAAUGAGUUGCAGUGGUUAAUUUAAUGACCUUAUUCACUUUUGCAUUUUUCAGCAUUAGUAGUUUCAACGCUAUGUAGUAGUUAAGUAAUGUCGUUUUGUAAUUGUGUCGUUAUAUGAGAACUUGAUGUGAAUUGUCUAGAUGGUAUGGGUUGGAGUUGCCAUUCAAGGAAUGUGUAGUAUCAAGGUGAAAAAGUCUUAUAUGUUCAUUUUGAUGGAUACUGCAUGGUCUCUUCUUUUCUAUGAAUAAUUUAUAUCCGAGGAUCAAGAUAUUAGAUUAUAAAUUUUGAAGUAACUUAUAUCUAGUAAAUGAGGUAAAGUGUUUGUGUAAACAUGAAGAGAGUGAC